GGAGCUCACAGUCUAGGAAGAAAAAAGACAAAUAAAAUUAUACCAAUAUAAUGAAUGCAGUUCCAUGGCAUAUGAAGAGUGUUAUAGAAACACAGAGCAAAGAUGUAACCCUACCUAGUGUCAAAGGAGACUACACAGAAGAUGGUGCAUUAGAAGGAAGAGAAAGAAUUGGCUGCACCAACAGGAGGAGGGGAAAGGACCUUCUGAGAAAGAGAAGAGUGUGUGCAAAGCAGUGGAGGCCUCAGGGAGGAUGGUGGUCUGCUAAUACUGAGUUUAGUGUGGUUGUCUUUGUCUUACAUUGCUUGCAGGGAAUAAAGCUAGUAUUUGCUUUGCUAGCUGGACUGAGCUGGGCUAUAAGUUGUCUGACCUUUAUCCCGUACACAACAGGAACUACAGGAGGUUUUCAAGAAAGGGAGUGAAGUCAGAUUCAUAGUUGAGAAAAACAUUCUAGUAACUAAGUGGUGAGUAGAAUGAAGAAUGGGAGCACUGAUUGGAAAGCAUUUAUAAUAGAUGGUGGAGGGCAAGUUUUAGGAAGCAGGCAGUGAUUGUGAUGUCAGAAUCAAUUUGUAUGAUAUUUAAAUAGUCCACCCGGAACUCAGUAAAGCAAAGAUUGUUGAAGAGGGUGAGCUUGAGAGACUGGAUGGAUGUUGAUAACAUUAAUUGUGUGAGGGUAUAAUCUCUUUGCUGAGAUUUUAAGUACGGUAAUUUUCUGACGUGAUACCUGUAUUCAUAGCGUAACCCGUGACCCUAUUUGGAUAGCCCUUAUGCCUCUGUAUUAUGAUUGUCAGUCACUUCCCUGAACUAUAAACUUCUUGAGGUCAGAGAUAAGUUUUAAUGGUUCUUCUUGUUCCACAGCUUCUGACACAGGGCUUAGUUAUGUAGUCGGUGCUUGGUAGAUUUUGGAUGUUUAGACGUGGAUGCAUCAGCCAUCUACUUAAGAAUUCCUCUUUUGAAUUCUUCCUCUGCACAAGAAGAUCUUUGUUUCUUAACCCAAAGAAGACCAGCUCUUCUGUCCCAGAUGAAUAUCGUCCUAUUGCAACAUGACCAGCCUGCAGCUCUUGCCCCAUGUAUCACUUUUAUACACAAGUUCGACAAGACCCGAACCAGCCAGUACCUUCUCCCAGGAGACGAGCCCACUCAGCCUGCAUUUCGAUGGAUCAGCCGUGUCACAUUGCUGUAGAAAUUUCUAAAUACUUAUUCUUUUUAUUUUGUUUCUUAUUUCACAGGGGACCCACAACAGUCUCUGGUGAACAGCAUACUCUGAGUAGCACCGUUCUAGUCUUUGUAUACCAGGAAUGUUUCACAGUAAAUGUUUAAAUCAUUUUGGACAUAUUUAUGUUUUCAAAGUAUCUUAUGUUAACUCAUUUACCCAAUUCUGCAUAUUCGCUCUUACAAGUGGGUGAUUCUUGUAUUCCACAAAUUUAUCUCCAUCUUGGAGCUUUGUUAGGUGCUCCUGAAAAUUCAGUGGUAAGACUUGUUCUUGCCUUGUCUCAGCCAGUGAAUAUUCAAAGAUGUGUAAUUCAUAGACUUUUCUUUCAAAGGAGCUCCCAUUUUAGAGUGGAGCUAGAACUAAUAGUUUGUGUUCCAUACCAGGCGUAUAAGAUAAAUGCUACAGAAACGCUGAAAGGAGUCAUGAUUUGUAAUUGGGCAGGUUGAAAGGUUUUAUAGAAGAGUGGCUCAUCUGAACAAGGUUUUCUUCAAGGAUGAGUAGGGAGUUUUCAGGGUGACAGAGGGAUAAAGUCAAAGGAAAAAAGCAUGAGCACAAAUGAGGAGAGAUGGCACACAGCACCUGCUGAGAAGUGAUCAGCAGAUGGGUGGGUUCUAGAAUGCACCCAGGGAGGUGAGGUUAGAAAGGUAGAAUGAAGCAAGACAGUAUAAGGCUUUGAUUUUCACACUAAUAAUUUUGAGCUUUUUCUUAUUCACAUGAGAAGAUUUUAAGGCAUGAUCAGUUUUGGUUAGAGCCCAGGCGCAUAAAGAGUGGGUUACGAAAGGGAGAGACUAGAAGGGGAGAGAUUAGUUAAGAGGUUGUCAAAACAGUCUAAAUAAGAGAUGAUAACGACCUCAACUAUAGCAGUGGCUCUGGGAAUUUAGAGGAGGGAAUAACUCUGAGGACUGUCUCAGAGGUGAAAGUGAAUGAGUGGGGUUUGGGAAGAGAUGGGGGGCCAGGUGAGGAGCACGAGCUUUUUUUUUUUCUUUUUACAUGGACAAACUGAAUCACAGGGAGGGACAUGUUUUCCUGUGGAUGAAGAUACAGAUAAUUUUUGCAUCCAAGAGGAGAGAGAAGCAUCACUCUCGAUAGCCUUAAUAUUCUGUUCUCAAAAUAACAUUAUUUUAGGAAUGAGAGUAUAAGAAAUAAAAUUAAGGACAGUGGGAAAAUAUAAAUUUGUCUUGGGGAAUGUGAUGGGGCCUUCUGUAUUAUAACAGCUAGAAUCUUGACUGACAGUUUUCUGAUAUAGACCUUUAGUUCUCAUGUUUGAACUCCCUAUAUUCAUUUGUUCAUUCUUCAAUAUUUAUUGACAGCUUACCUUGUAAGAAUCAUUGUAUUAUGAGUUGUGGAUAGAAAUACAAGACAUAAAUCCUGCCCUCAGGUAGCUCACGUUUUAAAAUGGAGGACAGGCACUUAAAUACAGCAGUGUGGUUGCAGUGGGUAGGCUCACAGGAGCCGUAGCAAAAUUAGCAAAUCUUGCUGAGAAUGUGGGGCCAUGAAAGUCAAUGAAGGAGAAUAGUUUUUGUUUUUUGUUUUGAUAGGGACAGGGUCCCCUUCUGUUACCCAGGCUGGGGUGCACUUGUGUGACCAUAGCUCACUGCUGCUUUAGACACUUGGGUUUAAUACCACCUCAGCCUCCGGAGUAGGUAGGAUUAUUAUUAUUAUUAUUAUUAUUUAUUUAUUUAUUUAUUUAUUUUUUUGAGAGCCAAGGUCUCACUUUGUUGGCCAGGCCAGUCUCCAACUCAUGGCCUCAAGCAAUCCUCCUGCCUCAGCCUCCCAAAGCACUGGGAUUACAGGUGUGAGCCACCAUGCCUGGCCUAGAAUACUGUUAGGAGAUGAGAACCUGCUAGCCGGUGAAAACAAGAGAGACAUUCCAAGAAGGGACUGUAGGGUUUAGAGGAAGAGAUGGCUGGGGCCAGAUUCUCAGAGGCUGGGUUCUAUAUGACAUGUGAGAAUUUGUGGUUGAGUGAGAAAGAGAGGAACAGCGAUUAAAGGGUUUACCCUUCAGUGGAGGAGUAACCAACCAAAUGGAGUUUCAGUGGGAUUGUGCUGGCCAUUAUGGAGAAGGGGAUCUGAGACGUAGAGAAGAAGGGAGACACCUGAGAGACGGUGCAGUGGUUCAGGUGAGAAGUAUUUGGAAUCUGAACUAGAUCAGCAAUAUUGGGGACAGACUAAAGAGUUAAUAAAUAGUUAGAAAGUAAAAUUGGUAGGACAUCGAGGUGGAUUCAAGUCAGAAAGUAGGACAGAGGCAAGGAGUUCGAGGUGACACAGGUUCAAGCUUGAGCUACGUACAUAGUGGAAGCAUCGCUAAGAGCCUGUGCGUGCUGGGAAGAAGGAUGAUGAGUUCAGCUCCAGAAACCAUAUGAGGUGCCUGGAGAUCUUUAGCAGGCAGUUAUGUACUCAGAUGCAAAGGUCUGUGGAGAAAUUAAAGCCGGAUAGAACUUUGGGAAUCAUCAGCAUUUAGGAAUAGAUUGUUAAAAUGGAUAAUGGAGGUAUUUACGUAGGCCGAACAAAGAGAAUUUCAAACACCUGCAUCCUGUUUAAUUCUUCAGUUUAAAUUUACCAACAAACAUAAAAGGUAGGAGAUUGGGCUGCUUUCAGGGCAUUGAGCUCAAAAGACAGAAAGAGGCAAUUUAUGUGUCACUUAAUGUUUAUCUUACGCUUGCCUACCGGGAAGAGUGAAAAGAUGUUAAAGAAAAAGAGGGAAUCUUUUCAUUCCUUGAACUGUUGUGUUGAAUAAAUUUUAAAGAAAAAGAAGCAAAAUGAAAUAACUUGAGAACAAGAACCUAACCGCAUAUGAACAUAAUUUACAUGCCAUAAAAUACCAUUUUCAAUGUACAAUUAAACGAUUUUUAUAAAAUUUACAUAAGCCAUAUUUUUUAAAGUAUUAAAAGACAGUUAUGAGCUAAGCUUUUAAGUACAGUGAUGAUUGAGAGUGUGGUAAAAAUACUGCAGGUAGCAUUUAAUUAGGGAAAUUCCUGCCAGUUGAAAGAUGUGGAUGGGGAUUGGCAGAGAUUGAAGGAACAGCCAUUUUGUGCCAGACACUCUGCUGGAAGAGGAGCAGAUAAACGGGCGAGUCUGGGAGCAUUUUAAGCAGCAUUUAAAGGAUAAUAAGGUCGUGUCUUCACUAAGCCAUUGACACGAAUGUGAUACUUUUAUAUUUGUUUCUGUUUUCUGACUUUAGCCCUAGGAAAAUAAAGGGUCAUACUAGCAUUGCAGUUAUUUUCUCACAUAAAAAAUUAUAUUUGGCUGCUUCUAAUUGGAAGUAUCUAUUUUAAGCUCAACCAACCCUAACAUCUCAGGUAACUGUGGGCAGAACUUCACAUAUUAUAAGCUUCUUAAUCUGUAAAAAAAAAAAAAAAAAAAGAAA
Molecule: long non-coding RNA, 4577 nt
Organism: Gorilla gorilla gorilla (western lowland gorilla)
Lineage: Eukaryota; Metazoa; Chordata; Mammalia; Primates; Hominidae
Exons: 2
Source: RefSeq, a predicted model, not a curated record